Long non-coding RNA from Rhinichthys klamathensis goyatoka, 268 nucleotides. RefSeq lists it as uncharacterized. The transcript is spliced from 2 exons. The record is from RefSeq and is a predicted model, not a curated record. Lineage: Eukaryota; Metazoa; Chordata; Actinopteri; Cypriniformes; Leuciscidae.
UUGGGGAAAAUGUCAUAUUGCGAUUAAUGAGGUCAAUAUUGCGAUUGCGAUAUAAUAAACAAAUGGUUUCAUGAGUCAACUUGCUUGGUUCUAAAGUAAAAUGCACACACAGAUUAGUGAUCAUUCUGUGUAUUAAUGUGUAUUUCUCAACUCAAACUAGCAACAACAACUAAAUGAUUGAUAACACCUAUAAUGAUCAAUAAACCAUUAAUCCAUCCAACAUUACAGUGAUUCCAUCAAUACAAUUGAAAGCUAUCAACUUUUAAAA